GUACGGAAUAACUGCGGGAAACCUCAGCUAAUACCGUAUAAUGGCUCCGGCCCAAAGAUUUAUCGCCUUAGAAUGAGCCCGCGUUUGAUUAGGUAGUUGGUGAGGUAAAAGCUCACCAAGCCGACGAUCAAUAGCUGGUCUGAGAGGAUGAUCAGCCACACUGGUACUGAGACACGGACCAGACUCCUACGGGAGGCAGCAGUAAGGGAUAUUGGACAAUGGAGGAAACUNUGAUCCAGCCAUGCCGCGUGAGUGAAGAAGGCCUUCGGGUUGUAAAACUCUUUCAGAUGUGAAGAUGAUGACGGUAACAUCAGAAGAAGCUCCGGCUAACUUCGUGCCAGCAGCCGCGGUAAUACGAAGGGGGCGAGCGUUGUUCGGAAUCACUGGGCUUAAAGCGUAUGUAGGCGGAUUUGCAAGUCAGGAGUGAAAUCCCGGGGCUCAACCCCGGAACUGCUUCUGAAACUGCAAGUNUAGUGUCCCGGAGAGGUUGGCGGAAUUCCGAGUGUAGAGGUGAAAUUCGCAGAUAUUCGGAGGAACACCAGUGGCGUAGGCGGCCAACUGGACGGGUACAGACGCUGAGAUACGAAAGCGUGGGGAGCAAACAGGAUUAGAUACCCUGGUAGUCCGCGCCGUAAACGAUGGGGACUCGGCGUUCGGGAGCAAUCCCGAGUGCCCAAGCGAAAGCAUUAAGUCCCCCACCUGGGGAGUACGCCGGCAACGGUGAAACUCAA
Molecule: ribosomal RNA, 731 nt
Filed under: uncultured Alphaproteobacteria bacterium
Lineage: Bacteria; Pseudomonadati; Pseudomonadota; Alphaproteobacteria
Description: bacterial SSU rRNA
Rfam family: Bacterial small subunit ribosomal RNA
Source: RNAcentral